RNAcentral lists this ribosomal RNA (195 nucleotides) under Triticum aestivum (bread wheat). Its description in RNAcentral is "partial small subunit ribosomal RNA". Lineage: Eukaryota; Viridiplantae; Streptophyta; Magnoliopsida; Poales; Poaceae. The record is from RNAcentral.
GUUAAUAAUGGACAUAAUUGUGCUUUCUUAACUCAUAUGGGAAAGACUUGUAACUCUGCUCACAACUAUGCGGCCAAAUGCUAUGAUAAUUUGAAGAAUCAACCAUGUCAUAUUGAGCUGUUAAUGGAGAGACAAACAUCAGAAGACAUACAAGCGAAUAGGCUGAGGCUUAGAGCAACAAUUGAUACCUUACGG